RNA transcript from Ostrinia furnacalis (Asian corn borer), 2506 nucleotides. RefSeq lists it as uncharacterized. The transcript is spliced from 3 exons. Lineage: Eukaryota; Metazoa; Arthropoda; Insecta; Lepidoptera; Crambidae. The record is from RefSeq and is a predicted model, not a curated record.
UAGCGAUUGUUUUAUUUGUUUUAUUUCGGAAUCCAAGUCCGGCCAUAGAAUUAGGCCACGUGUUAUUAUUACCAAUCAAUUGUGUACAAAGUCUACGCUAUGUCCAAAUCUGGAAAUGCUUAUAAUGAAGACCUUUUCUAUUACAUCAAAGUGAGCGAAGAUGAAGAUGAAUCUAAUGCCGUUGAGAUUCCCUGUGAAGUUGACGGAACUCUUCUCCUAUCAACACUUGUUGCUCAGUUUCCCGGAGCAUCUGGGCUUAAAUACCGCCAUCCAGAUAGUAAAUGUGUUCGUGGCAUUCGGUUGAGCGAUGGUAAACUGCAUCCACCAAGUGAGGUCGGAUGGGGCAAACACUUGUACAUUUGCGUAUUUCCUAAAGAAAACAAACGUAAAAUGGAAGAUGUCUCCCCUGAGAAUUCAGCGGCUAAAACUAAGAGACUGGAGAAAAAACUUACAUGUUCAGAUUUAAUUUGCCUUGGGCUGCCUUGGAAAUCUACUGAAGAAUCAAUUAAACAAUAUUUUGAACAGUUUGGAGAAGUAGUAAUGGUUCAACUCAAGAGGGAUAAAAAUGGAUCUUUCAAAGGAUUUGGAUUUAUUCGCUUUGCGACUUAUGCAUCUCAAAUGAGAGCUUUGGCACAGAGACAUAACAUUGAUGGACGAUGGGUGGAUGUCCGUAUACCAAAUUCCAAGGAAGGAGUGGUUCCUCAGAUGCCUUGCAAAGUGUUUGUGGGAAGGUGCACAGAAGACAUGACUGCUGAUGAUUUACGCGAAUAUUUUUCAAAGUUUGGAGAAGUAACCGAUGUUUUUGUUCCUAGACCUUUCAGAGCUUUUGGUUUUGUAACCUUUUUAGACCCUGAAGUUGCUCAAAGUCUGUGUGGAGAAGAUCAUGUCAUAAAAGGUGCAUCAGUGUCUGUGUCUAGUGCUGCACCCAAGAUCAAAAGCAAAACCAGCCACAACUGGAAAGAUGAAUCUUACAGCAACAACUGGGAUGGUAACCGAUCUGGACCUUCUGGAGGUUCCAACAAUAAUGGAGGAAAUAGCAACAUUGAUUCACUCAAUAUGCAGAAUUUAGGAAUCAAUCCUAAUGGUGGACCACCAGCUAAUUUUAAUCUUCCCAUUAGUCUAGUUGCGGCCGCUCUCAAUCAAGCUGGUUGGGGAGGGUUUCUGGGUGGUCCUGGGGGCAACCAAGGCCCGAACAACUGGCAAGGUGGACCCCCUCAAGGAGGAUCUGGUAAAAACUGGAAUGGUAACCAAAACUGGGGUCAAAAUGGACCACCACCAACUUGGAAUCAACAAGGAGGAAACCAGGGAUGGAAUGGGGGUGGAGGUGGAAAUGGUAAAGGCAACUGGAAUCAAGGAAAUUGGUCCAAUGGGCCAGGCGGGUGGAAUGGCAAUGGCGGAGGAUCUGGGCCCAACGGAGGGUGGAAUAACAAACCCCAGACAUGAGGUGAGCUGUGACAGUGGAUAGUCAUAACAGGGAUGUUUGUAUGGUAUCCUGCAUUAGUGUGUUUUAAGUGAAUAUAUCUACUUAAAUUAGUUUAUUAAUUUGUUUAUUCAAUUGUAUUGUGAAGUGAUAUGGGAUGUAUCACGGAGAGUAUAUGUAUAUGUACAUGGAUGCAUAAACCCCUUUAAAGAUUGUAUUAGAUGUAAGGUGACUAGAGCUGAGUGUAAUUUUAUGAUGUGGAUGAUGAGAUUUAUUUAAUAAAAUUAAGUAAGUAAUAUGAGAUGGAUGUUUUUAUUUGGUCGUAGUAAAAAUUUGUGGUUACUGUUCUAUUUGGGUGUGCAAAAUGUGAGAUGAAAUUAUUUGUAAUUUAUUUUGUUAAGGAAAACUUUUAUAUCUAGGACAAUAUCGCGAGGUAUAGAAUGAAUGAUAAGUUUGUUUGAGAAUGUGAAUUUUUAAAAGUAUAUUAUAAGAGAACGGAGAUUGGGCGCCUUUUGGGUGGUUGAGGAGCACUACUGUGAGUGCUAGAUGUGCCUGUACAAUGAUGACCCUGAAAUGUACUACACCUGUGCAAGUGGAUUAUUGUCCUGAAAAGCAGCAUCUAAGGGUGAGUGAGCUGUGGGGUUGUGGCAAUAAUAACUUAUGACCUAAGAAUGAAUUAUGUAAUGAUUUGUGUUCUUUUUGUGCAGUAGCAAAAUCAUUUUGUGGCUUGUCAAGAAUGCUAAUAUUGUGGCAGAGUGAUACAGUGAUACUUGUAUGGCAUUUAAAGCAGAAUUGCUGGAAAAUCAGUUAAUAUCCAAGAGGACUUCUAGGAAAUUGUGGAAAAAAACUCAAGAAACACACUUUGUAAGGAAUGAUCGUCGCGUCAAUUAUGCGAUAGGUUGCCUAGGACGACGAAAAGCUGAAAGAUGUAACAAACAACAACAUGAUGGAGCAGCAGAAUGGUGAUGUUCAGAAAUCUGCUUUAGAAAGCGAAAACCUGACUAUGGACACAUUUAAAUCGGUUUGUGUAAAGCGUGAAAAAGUAGUAGGAUUAAUAUUUGAAUAAAUGAACACUAACAAAAUAUA